This 465-nucleotide ribosomal RNA is filed under the name Vreelandella stevensii. RNAcentral describes it as "partial 16S ribosomal RNA". It matches the Rfam family "Bacterial small subunit ribosomal RNA", at positions 338 to 795 of the family's 1533-position model. Lineage: Bacteria; Pseudomonadati; Pseudomonadota; Gammaproteobacteria; Oceanospirillales; Halomonadaceae. The record is from RNAcentral.
CCUACGGGUGGCUGCAGUGGGGAAUAUUGGACAAUGGGCGAAAGCCUGAUCCAGCCAUGCCGCGUGUGUGAAGAAGGCCUUCGGGUUGUAAAGCACUUUCAGUGGGGAAGAAAGCCUUGGGGCUAAUACCCUCGAGGAAGGACAUCACCCACAGAAGAAGCACCGGCUAACUCCGUGCCAGCAGCCGCGGUAAUACGGAGGGUGCGAGCGUUAAUCGGAAUUACUGGGCGUAAAGCGCGCGUAGGCGGUCUGAUAAGCCGGUUGUGAAAGCCCCGGGCUCAACCUGGGAACGGCAUCCGGAGCUGUCAGGCUAGAGUGCAGGAGAGGAAGGUAGAAUUCCCGGUGUAGCGGUGAAAUGCGUAGAGAUCGGGAGGAAUACCAGUGGCGAAGGCGGCCUUCUGGACUGACACUGACGCUGAGGUGCGAAAGCGUGGGUAGCAAACAGGAUUAGAUACCCGAGUAGUC